UUGAAUUUUAAUGAAGAGUUUGGUCGUAGCUGGCCCAUUCAUUUGGGCAUGUGCACACCUUCCUCUUUCAUCCCACACACACCUGUGAACCUGUGAGACAGAGAUGGGGAAUUUACUUGCUGCUUUUUGGAAUACAAAGGCAAUAGGUUAUUGGACCCCCCCUCUGUCUACUCAAUUAAUAUAAACUCAAUUUAUUUUAAAACGAAUGUAAUGGAUGUAACACAUCUCAUAC
This 232-nucleotide unclassified non-coding RNA is filed under the name soil metagenome. RNAcentral's name for it is "partial internal transcribed spacer 1". The record is from RNAcentral.